Molecule: ribosomal RNA, 435 nt
Filed under: uncultured bacterium
Lineage: Bacteria
Description: bacterial SSU rRNA
Rfam family: Bacterial small subunit ribosomal RNA
Source: RNAcentral
UCGAGGAUCUUCGGCAAUGGGCGCAAGCCUGACCGAGCGACGCCGCGUGGGCGAUGAAGGCCUUCGGGUUGUAAAGCCCUGUCGAGGGGGAGAAAGGCGCGCAAGCGCUUGAUCGACCCCUGGAGGAAGCACGGGCUAAGUUCGUGCCAGCAGCCGCGGUAAGACGAACCGUGCGAACGUUGUUCGGAAUCACUGGGCUUAAAGGGCGCGUAGGCGGGCUCGUAAGUUCGGGGUGAAAGCCCGCGGCUCAACCGCGGAAGCGCCUCGGAUACUGCGGGCCUGGAGGGAGGUAGGGGCGUGCGGAACUUCCGGUGGAGCGGUGAAAUGCGUAGAUAUCGGAAGGAACACCGGUGGCGAAAGCGGCGCGCUGGACCUCUUCUGACGCUGAGGCGCGAAAGCCAGGGGAGCAAACGGGAUUAGAUACCCCCGUAGUCC